GGUGCCAGGAGCACCCACCAGCAGCAGUUCAGGGAUGGACUUUAGCCCCCGGCUGCGUGGAGGGGCCCCACUGUCACGGGUGUGGCCGAGCCCGCUGUGGUCCUGGGGCCGAGCCGGGGGCCAGCGCUUGGCUGACAGUCACCGAGCAAGCAGAGAACUGCUCCAGAGAGAUGCUGGGCCUUUGGACGCCCCUCCGGAGUCCUGAGAUUCUGCUACAGGAAAGAGAACUGAUUAUCUUAUGUAACACUCCUGAGUCCAGAUUCUGAUGGAAACCUCUUCAGAAAGGGCAACGGACUUGCUGGAGGUCACUGAUUACUUUCAUGUCAGGACUGAGCUCAGGGCCAGGUGUCCAGGCUUCAACCCCGGUGCUCCCGCUGGCAUACCCCUGCCUUCCAAAGGAAUUCAGAGCGAAUCUCAUCUGCUGUCUUGGCUCUCAUACAAGCCCUCUCCCAAGCCUGCUCCCUGAUCCACUGGUCUUCUUUGGGAAGGACUGAAGCUCUCCCGGCCCUCCUCAGGCUGCAAGGCUGUUUGGUGCAAAAGAGGAGACCCAGGUUGGGGCCAGCACACCUGCAUCCUGGUCCCACCUCCCCCACUGUGUGCUCUGGGGCUCCGAAUUACUGGGAAUAAUUGGAGCCUGUAACACUGGAGAAAUGUUGAGCCAGCUGUCCCCAAAUGAGAAGGGCCAUUGCUCACAGGCCAUUGCUCACAGGAGAAAUGUUGAGCUAGCUGUCUCCAAAAUAGAAGGGCCAUUGCUCACAGGAGAGCCAGAAAUACCUGCAGGAUGGCCAGCUUCCCCAUCCCCCAGAGCACAGAAGGAGUACGGUGACUUAAAGAGAAGGCGGUAUCAACCCCAGUCAGAGAAAUACUGGAGGGCUUCCUGGAAGAGUUGGCAUUUGAGUUACAUCUUUGAGGAAUAAGAAAGUUUUUUCAGGGGAAGAAAGGACACUCCAGGAAGAGAGACCAGAAUGUGCAAAGGUGAGUCCAGACCUCCCGGCUCGUCCCACUGCGGGUCUGCCGUUAUCCCACCACUAGACGCAGGCCCACCGCCCGGAGAGGUGAGGGGGAACCACCGAGUGAUCGCUGCCCCCCACCCGCGUGGCAGUGCCCCUGCCGCCCCACCAGCUGCCUGACCCUCGCCAUGCCUCAAUGCCCCAUCUGUGAAAUAGGGACCGUGAUGCCCGCCUCCCUACCCCCAUCCCAGUGGUCAUUGGAUGCCCCAGACCACCCGCGUCUCUCGCCCUAACCCCUCCUCCAGGAGGCUGGGCUUGCGUCGCCUCGAGUCCCUCCCCCUCCGGACCUCCGGACCCUCCGAGGGUUGGGGAGGCACCGCCCACCCUGCCUGCGGCGGACCCGCAGUUCUGAGAGCUGCGCCGGGGCCCCACCUUGUGGCUCUUCUGGGAACUGCACUGCCCGGCCUCCUCUGGACGUAACAGCAGUUACAGUUACAGCGGCUGAGCGUGCAGCACUGACGCUGAAAGGCUCUGUGCUAAGCACCAUCCACGUGGAACGUUCUUAAUUCUCCCACAAAGCUUCGGAUGUGGGUCCUGUUAUUUGUCCUCCCUUACAAAUGGGGAAACUGGGGGCGAAGCCCCGUAACCAGUGACAGAUGGGGUAGGAUUUGACCCCAGGAGGUCU
Molecule: long non-coding RNA, 1635 nt
Organism: Eubalaena glacialis (North Atlantic right whale)
Lineage: Eukaryota; Metazoa; Chordata; Mammalia; Artiodactyla; Balaenidae
Exons: 4
Source: RefSeq, a predicted model, not a curated record